GCAUAUCAAUAAGCGGAGGGAAAAGAAACUAACAAGGAUUCCCCUAGUAACUGCGAGUGAAGCGGGAAAAGCUCAAAUUUAAAAUCUGGCGUGCCUCUGGUCGUCCGAGUUGUAGUUUAGAGAAGCGUUUUCUGUGUUGGACCGUGUAUAAGUCUCUUGGAACAGGGCGUCAUAGAGGGUGAGAAUCCCGUCUUUGACACGGACUACCAAUGCUUUGUGAUACGCUCUCAAAGAGUCGAGUUGUUUGGGAAUGCAGCUCAAAAUGGGUGGUAAAUUCCAUCUAAAGCUAAAUAUAGGCGAGAGACCGAUAGCGAACAAGUACCGUGAGGGAAAGAUGAAAAGCACUUUGGAAAGAGAGUUAAACAGUACGUGAAAUUGCUGAAAGGGAAACGCUUGAAGUCAGUCACGUCUGCCAGGACUCAGCCUUGCUUCUGCUUGGUGUACUUUCUGGUUGGAUGGGCCAACAUCGAUUUCGACCGUUGGAGAAAGGCUUUGGGAAUGUGGCACCUUCGGGUGUGUUAUAGCCCUUUGUCGUAUACAAUGGUUGGGAUCGAGGACUGCAGCAUGCCUUCAUGGCCGGGGUUCGCCCACGUACAUGCUUAGGAUGUUGGCAUAAUGGCUUUAAGCGACCCGUCUUGAAACACGGACCAAGGAGUCUAACAUGCCUGCGAGUGUUUGGGUGGAAAACCCAUGCGCGUAAUGAAAGUGAUAGCUGAGAUCCUCUCAUCAGGAGCAUCAGCGCCUGGACUUGAUCUACGGAGACGGUUCUACGGUAGAGCAUGUAUGUUGGGACCCGAAAGAUGGUGAACUAUGCCUGAAUAGGGUGAAGCCAGAGGAAACUCUGGUGGAGGCUCGUAGCGAUUCUGACGUGCAAAUCGAUCGUCAAAUUUGGGUAUAGGGGGCGAAAGACUAAUCGAACCAUCUAGUAGCUGGUUCCUGCCGA
Molecule: ribosomal RNA, 943 nt
Filed under: Thelephora terrestris
Lineage: Eukaryota; Fungi; Basidiomycota; Agaricomycetes; Thelephorales; Thelephoraceae
Description: LSU rRNA
Rfam family: Eukaryotic large subunit ribosomal RNA
Source: RNAcentral